This 1361-nucleotide ribosomal RNA is filed under the name uncultured bacterium. RNAcentral's name for it is "bacterial SSU rRNA". It matches the Rfam family "Bacterial small subunit ribosomal RNA", at positions 28 to 1381 of the family's 1533-position model. The record is from RNAcentral.
AUUGAACGCUGGCGGCAGGCCUAACACAUGCAAGUCGAGCGGUAGCACAGAGAGCUUGCUCUCGGGUGACGAGCGGCGGACGGGUGAGUAAUGUCUGGGAAACUGCCUGAUGGAGGGGGAUAACUACUGGAAACGGUAGCUAAUACCGCAUAAUGUCGCAAGACCAAAGUGGGGGACCUUCGGGCCUCAUGCCAUCAGAUGUGCCCAGAUGGGAUUAGCUAGUAGGUGGGGUAACGGCUCACCUAGGCGACGAUCCCUAGCUGGUCUGAGAGGAUGACCAGCCACACUGGAACUGAGACACGGUCCAGACUCCUACGGGAGGCAGCAGUGGGGAAUAUUGCACAAUGGGCGCAAGCCUGAUGCAGCCAUGCCGCGUGUGUGAAAAAGGCCUUCGGGUUGUAAAGCACUUUCUCCGGGGAGGAAGGCGGUGAGGUUAAUAACCUCAUCGAUUGACGUUACCCGCAGAAGAAGCACCGGCUAACUCCGUGCCAGCAGCCGCGGUAAUACGGAGGGUGCAAGCGUUAAUCGGAAUUACUGGGCGUAAAGCGCACGCACGCGGUCUGUCUAGUCGGAUGUGAAAUCCCCGGGCUCAACCUGGGAACUGCAUUCGAAACUGGCAGGCUAGAGUCUUGUAGAGGGGGGUAGAAUUCCAGGUGUAGCGGUGAAAUGCGUAGAGAUCUGGAGGAAUACCGGUGGCGAAGGCGGCCCCCUGGACAAAGACUGACGCUCAGGUGCGAAAGCGUGGGGAGCAAACAGGAUUAGAUACCCUGGUAGUCCACGCCGUAAACGAUGUCGAUUUGGAGGUUGUGCCCUUGAGGCGUGGCUUCCGGAGCUAACGCGUUAAAUCGACCGCCUGGGGAGUACGGCCGCAAGGUUAAAACUCAAAUGAAUUGACGGGGGCCCGCACAAGCGGUGGAGCAUGUGGUUUAAUUCGAUGCAACGCGAAGAACCUUACCUGGUCUUGACAUCCACAGAACUUUCCAGAGAUGGAUUGGUGCCUUCGGGAACUGUGAGACAGGUGCUGCAUGGCUGUCGUCAGCUCGUGUUGUGAAAUGUUGGGUUAAGUCCCGCAACGAGCGCAACCCUUAUCCUUUGUUGCCAGCGGUUAGGCCGGGAACUCAAAGGAGACUGCCAGUGAUAAACUGGAGGAAGGUGGGGAUGACGUCAAGUCAUCAUGGCCCUUACGACCAGGGCUACACACGUGCUACAAUGGCAUAUACAAAGAGAAGCGACCUCGCGAGAGCAAGCGGACCUCAUAAAGUAUGUCGUAGUCCGGAUUGGAGUCUGCAACUCGACUCCAUGAAGUCGGAAUCGCUAGUAAUCGUAGAUCAGAAUGCUACGGUGAAUACGUUCCCGGGCAU